CCCUUUGAUACUCUGGGCGGCACGCGCGCUACACUGGUUUAUAUAACGUGUAAUUUGGACGAUAGUCUGUAUAAAUCACUAAUAUAAAACCGUGAAUGGGAUAGUUUAUUGCAACUUACAAACUUUAACUAGGAAUCCCUUGUAGAAGUAGUGAAUUAUACUGCUUCGAAUACGUCCCUGCCGAUUGUACACACCGCCCGUCGUCUCUUCCGACUGGUACUCAUUGUGAAUUGCGAGGAGAUUCUGUCAAAUCGUUGUAAAUGCUGGGUAUUGGAGGAAGAAAAAGUCGUAACA
RNAcentral lists this ribosomal RNA (294 nucleotides) under uncultured eukaryote. RNAcentral describes it as "partial 18S ribosomal RNA". It matches the Rfam family "Eukaryotic small subunit ribosomal RNA", at positions 1470 to 1796 of the family's 1831-position model. The record is from RNAcentral.